UCAUUUAUAGUUCAUUAUAGGUACAUCUCUACAGGCAGAACCAUCUCACAGGUGGUGUGUGUGGCGAAGCUAGUAGUGCUGCAAAAUGAAUGAACAUCAAUCACAUGUGCGCAUCCAUAGUCAGCCAUAUUUUCUACAGGAUUUGACAGUGAACACUGCCAUGAAGUGUCGUAAGACAAAGCUUAACAAAAUCCAUAAAAACAACACUGCCUUUUGGAUAAGAUUCUAGAACCUGAAAUGAAAUGUAACCUCAACGAAGGAAAAUACACGAUAUGGUGACAUCCACAACAUACGACCUCCCAAUAAAACUUGAUUUUCCUUGGGGGAAUGCUCCUGCCUCAGUCCCAAGCCUUACAGCUCCACAAAUAAAAUAACGGCACACUGGCCAACCAAUCUUCAGCAAGAUUGCCAAAAAAGUGACAUCGAGCAGUCCUUGCAAGGAAGCCGCAGUUCUACACACCGUCAUUAGCAGAUUCUUAAAAAGAAGUUCAACAUAUGGACCUUCUGCAAAAUGGACAUGGACAUGUGAACUAUACCACUACUAAGGCAACUAAAAAGCACAAUAAAUACGGUAGUACGGAUAUUAUCAAGUACCUAACUAUUUAGUUACUUAUUUUGUUGAUAGCUGAUUUAAUACCGAAUAAAAGCUGUUAGUUGCAGCUUAGUCCAAAGAUAGGUUUCGGCAUGAGAUGAUUUCGGAUAACACAAGGAACUAUUUUUUAGUGUAUGAAAUAAUUUGCUUUAUACAUAUAUCUUGUCUGAGCCAAAGCAGGUAAACUAUCGACGAUACCAGAGUGAGAAACAUUCAUGGAAAAGAUUGGCAAUAUCAAUAAGCAGCAAAAACACUAUGUUUAGUACUCCUUACGUCCCAAAAUAAGUGUCCCUGAUUUAGUACAACUUAGUCAGAAGGUUGUUUUAGACAAAUUAAUUCCACCAAAAUUUAGAAGAAAUUGAUGUGCAUGAAGAACAUUUAACACCUGAGCCACAAACUACUUUUGAUGCCUAAUUUAGUGGCAAUUAAUAAUGCAUAUCGUCUGGGCAGCGGAAGUAUAAGUGUGAUGUAGCAAAGAAUAGUCUAGCUGAAACUGAAUCGUUUAUUUAACAAGUGACAUGGGAACCCUACCUUACAUCAUUACUAAGCUUUUCAUGUGAAGAAAAAACAUCAGCAACUAUCCCAAAGAAUAUAAUAUUUGCUCAUAUUGAUGCAGCAAAAAUUACAUACCAAUGAGUAAAUUCUGCAAGUAAAUUUUGAAUAGGAAGUGCUCAUUCCCAGAUAUCCAUGAGAGUCCAGGUGUGCAACGACAAAAAUGGUGUUUGUAUUCUUUCCUCAAAUUUAUUUGUUGCCAAAUUU
Molecule: long non-coding RNA, 1351 nt
Filed under: Triticum aestivum (bread wheat)
Lineage: Eukaryota; Viridiplantae; Streptophyta; Magnoliopsida; Poales; Poaceae
Description: long non-coding RNA (TAES_LNC003711)
Source: RNAcentral